This 72-nucleotide transfer RNA is filed under the name Ictidomys tridecemlineatus (thirteen-lined ground squirrel). RNAcentral's name for it is "Spermophilus tridecemlineatus (thirteen-lined ground squirrel) tRNA". It matches the Rfam family "tRNA". Rfam says of the family: Transfer RNA (tRNA) molecules are approximately 80 nucleotides in length. The record is from Rfam by way of RNAcentral. Lineage: Eukaryota; Metazoa; Chordata; Mammalia; Rodentia; Sciuridae.
GUGGAUAUAGCUCAGUUGGUAGAGUGCUUGCUUAGCAUGCACAAGGACCUGGGUUCAAUUCCCAGUACCACC